CUCUGUGGAAGCUAUGCACUGUUGAAAACAGUGUCACUCGCGCUUGUUGCGCAUCCCUUCUCACCUUGUUCACCCCUGACCAGUUUGCAUGCCUGAAUACCCCACACACCAGUGUAAUCAAUCAUCUAAAGUGGAAUGUGCUGCAUGAUGUCAAAUGUUAGGAAUCCAUGCACUAUUAAUGCUAUUCUACAUUCAAAGGGUCAGUGUAUUGGAAGCAGAACUCGAGGAGGGUGUUUGUGUUAAAGGAGUCUGUGUUCCAUUUGCUAAAAGAGCAGAGGGAAGCAAAAAGGAAGAGAGCAAGGUACCACACAACCAGGAUCAGAAAAGUAGCGAAGUGUAGCUUUUGUUACCCCCACUAGUUACACUUGGUAACUAGAGGGGGUAAUAAGGUCUGUUUGAACCUGCCGCUAAUAUUACAUAUUAUGUAAAGAACAGAAUAUAACAAAGGAACAGAAAAUAACAAGUUGCCAUUACAACACAGUUAACUCUCCACCAGAAGUAAAUGAGCGUACAGGAAGAGCCUUUCAUACACGCAAGAUGUGAUUUAACCAGUUCUGUUUUGUCUUAAUAGCCAUGGAGAUGGAGGGGGCGGUCUAGAAGAAAUAUCCAGGAAAAUUGAAGAUGUGCUGUCUGUAGCACAGGAACUUGGUGGAGUUGCUGCCUCUUUAAGGAGCCUGGUACAACUCAGCAAUGCAACAACAUGCCUUGUGAUCUCAUCACAGCAAGCUGAGGAGAUAAAGGCGUUGUUUGCCUGUUUAGUCUGCAAAGGGCCAAUGAAUGAACCUGUGCUGUCUUCAUGCUGCUCUAGUCUGGUAGGGUGCAGAUUGUGUGUGGAGUGGUGGGGCCUAACCUCAGACAUUUGUCUGAAAUGCAGAGCUUCAAACGUCACCCUACAGCGAGUCAAUGGGUUAGCAGAGCUGGUAACCAUUUUUCAGCACAUAUUACUUUAACCAUGUGUGAAUACGUUGGAUAGUGGCUGGCAGCUGUAGGUUUAAUUUUUUAGUUAUGUAUUUUUGAAGUUAACAAGCUGCUUAAAAAUGUAAUGGAAUUGUUAAAUGUGUAGAUUGUUAUUGAAGUCUUGCACUUGAUGUUCAACGUUUAAUCUGUUAUGGAACACCAUACACAACACUUUAAAAAAAUGUUUCAAACUGCGAAAGAGUUAACAGAAAUUGUGAGAAAAAGAACAAUUUUAUUAGAAUGUAUGGAGUAUUAGAAUACAUGGAAUAUGAAGAAUCUUGCACUGCAUCUUGUAUGUUACAGAAAAUACAUUAAACAGAAAAUGUAAAGAAUUGUACUAUUUGUAUAACAAUAAACAACUUUUGAAGUUG
Molecule: long non-coding RNA, 1328 nt
Organism: Alosa sapidissima (American shad)
Lineage: Eukaryota; Metazoa; Chordata; Actinopteri; Clupeiformes; Clupeidae
Exons: 2
Source: RefSeq, a predicted model, not a curated record